UUCCAGGUAGCUUAAUGGUAAAGCACCCAACUGGCAAUUGCGGGAUCUGGGUUCAAGUCUCAGCUUGGGCU
RNAcentral lists this transfer RNA (71 nucleotides) under Strigamia maritima. It matches the Rfam family "tRNA". Rfam says of the family: Transfer RNA (tRNA) molecules are approximately 80 nucleotides in length. Their secondary structure includes four short double-helical elements and three loops (D, anti-codon, and T loops). Further hydrogen bonds mediate the characteristic L-shaped molecular structure. tRNAs have two regions of fundamental functional importance: the anti-codon, which is responsible for specific mRNA codon recognition, and the 3' end, to which the tRNAs corresponding amino acid is attached (by aminoacyl-tRNA synthetases). tRNAs cope with the degeneracy of the genetic code in two manners: having more than one tRNA (with a specific anti-codon) for a particular amino acid; and 'wobble' base-pairing, i.e. permitting non-standard base-pairing at the 3rd anti-codon position. The record is from Rfam by way of RNAcentral. Lineage: Eukaryota; Metazoa; Arthropoda; Chilopoda; Geophilomorpha; Linotaeniidae.